This 253-nucleotide ribosomal RNA is filed under the name uncultured bacterium. Its description in RNAcentral is "partial 16S ribosomal RNA". It matches the Rfam family "Bacterial small subunit ribosomal RNA", at positions 524 to 776 of the family's 1533-position model. The record is from RNAcentral.
UACGGAGGGUGCAAGCGUUAUCCGGAUUCACUGGGUUUAAAGGGUGCGUAGGUGGGUUGGUAAGUCAGUGGUGAAAUCUCCGAGCUUAACUUGGAAACUGCCAUUGAUACUAUCAAUCUUGAAUAUUGUGGAGGUUAGCGGAAUAUGUCAUGUAGCGGUGAAAUGCUUAGAUAUGACAUAGAACACCAAUUGCGAAGGCAGCUGGCUACACAUAUAUUGACACUGAGGCACGAAAGCGUGGGGAUCAAACAGG